UCCUUUGUGUUCCUAUGGGUUUACAUGCACUUCUAGUAUGGGAACCAUCAGCAAGUCCAUCAAAUUUUGUUGCCCUUCUAGUGGAAGUUCCCGGCUGAGCCUGAUUCGCUAGGAAGUGGCUCCACCACUGGUGGCAAUGAAGUGUGUGGUGCAUACUAGACGAUUUCUCUCAGGAAGUUACUUAGCGGCAAACCCAUAGCAGCAACUUGGCCCGCAACGGAAAUUGCAGCAGCUCCCAAACCUGCAGCCACUACCAAACCUGGUAUGUGCAGUUAAACAAGAGUAUAGAAAAGCAGGUGU
Molecule: long non-coding RNA, 300 nt
Organism: Lolium rigidum
Lineage: Eukaryota; Viridiplantae; Streptophyta; Magnoliopsida; Poales; Poaceae
Exons: 3
Source: RefSeq, a predicted model, not a curated record